AGGAGCAUAGCUAAGUGGUAGAGCAUAUGCUUAGCAUGUACACAAAUCCUGGGUUCAAUCCUCAGUACUCUCU
This 73-nucleotide transfer RNA is filed under the name Fukomys damarensis (Damara mole-rat). It matches the Rfam family "tRNA". From Rfam's summary of the family: Transfer RNA (tRNA) molecules are approximately 80 nucleotides in length. Their secondary structure includes four short double-helical elements and three loops (D, anti-codon, and T loops). Further hydrogen bonds mediate the characteristic L-shaped molecular structure. tRNAs have two regions of fundamental functional importance: the anti-codon, which is responsible for specific mRNA codon recognition, and the 3' end, to which the tRNAs corresponding amino acid is attached (by aminoacyl-tRNA synthetases). tRNAs cope with the degeneracy of the genetic code in two manners: having more than one tRNA (with a specific anti-codon) for a particular amino acid; and 'wobble' base-pairing, i.e. permitting non-standard base-pairing at the 3rd anti-codon position. The record is from Rfam by way of RNAcentral. Lineage: Eukaryota; Metazoa; Chordata; Mammalia; Rodentia; Bathyergidae.